Molecule: long non-coding RNA, 771 nt
Organism: Thamnophis elegans (Western terrestrial garter snake)
Lineage: Eukaryota; Metazoa; Chordata; Lepidosauria; Squamata; Natricidae
Exons: 3
Source: RefSeq, a predicted model, not a curated record
AGUAACACCUCCUUAAAAAACCUUGGCCCAGCCGGCCCGGCUGGUAGCACCUCGUAAGGGCCCCUUCCCAGGGUUACGGGAGAAGACGGUCAACGGGUUUGGAAGGCGGAAGGGGGCUCUACGCCCCAACGGCAGAUCCAGCACAAGAAACCAUCGUCUGGGAGAAGGGAAACUCCCAUUACAAGCCUCCACUGCCUUGUGGCUCCAUCCAUUCAGGAGUCAACUGAACAAAGCAUCAUCCCUAUGCACGUAAUUAGGGGAAUAAAGGGAAGAAAGAGAAAGGAAAAACUAGUCGGAGUGAUUGUGGUUGUGUUUAAGAGCCUGACAGCUCAAGGAUAGGAACUAUUUUUAAGCCUAUUUGUUUGGCUGGCUCUGCUUCGAUGUCUUCAGACAAAUGGUUAUCCGAUCUCUUCUUAAAAACCUGCCCCAUGGGUCUUGUGAUCCCUUUUAGCGAUCUUCUGAUCAGCAAAGUCGAUGAGGAAGACGGAUUCACUUAACAACAGUGUCACUAAAUGGAACAACUGCAGUGGGCCACCACAACCGCAGUGGUAAAAUGGGUCUUGAUUUUGUCAGCUCCGGACAAAUAGCACAGAGUGUUGGUUUUUGAAGCGUGCAAACACUCUCAGAACGGAGGCGAGAACCGUACCCGGACAAAAGGCAGCUCCAACUUUUCAGGGAGAAAUUAAAGCCCAGGGCAUCCCGAGAGAAAUAAUGACAGCAUCCGAAUCUUCUUGGAGGGAAGAAAGAAGGGACCCGAGAAAAGGAAGCGAC